This 467-nucleotide ribosomal RNA is filed under the name uncultured bacterium. RNAcentral describes it as "partial 16S ribosomal RNA". It matches the Rfam family "Bacterial small subunit ribosomal RNA", at positions 28 to 507 of the family's 1533-position model. The record is from RNAcentral.
GACGAACGCUGGCGGCGUGCUUAACACAUGCAAGUCGAACGGAAAGGCCCUGCUUUUGUGGGGUGCUCGAGUGGCGAACGGGUGCGUAACACGUGAGUAACCUGCCCUUGACUUUGGGAUAACUUCAGGAAACUGGGGCUAAUACCGGAUAGGAGCUCCUGCUGCAUGGUGGGGGUUGGAAAGUUUCGGCGGUUGGGGAUGGACUCGCGGCUUAUCAGCUUGUUGGUGGGUAGUGGCUUACCAAGGCCUUGACGGGUAGCCGGCCUGAGAGGGUGACCGGCCACAUUGGGACUGAGAUACGGCCCAGACUGCUACGGGAGGCAGCAGUGGGGAAUAUUGCACAAUGGGCGGAAGCCUGAUGCAGCAACGCCGCGUGCGGGAUGACGGCCUUCAGGUUGUAAACCGCUUUCGCCUGUGACGAAGCGUGAGUGACGGUAAUGGGUAAAGAAGCACCGGCUAACUACGUG